CCAUUGAGCGAAGUAGCGGACUCUGAUUCUUGUGGGAAUUCCUCAGCGAUUAUACUACUGUCACGAACCGCUAUUACUCGUUUGAGUUGAAACCUUCUUUCAACAGAUGUAGCAUUCCAUUUUUUAAGCUGAGAUUUCUCAAGUAAAAGUUUUACCAAUAAAUAAAUACCAUCAAAAGAAUUAUAUGCCCGUAAUAAAAAUCUUGGAUAUCGAUGUGUGAAAUACUGAAAGAGAUUAAUUUAUCAUCAUUUAUUUAUUUUACUUACUGCUAGUAUAAACCUUAAUGAAGGUGAUAUAAGUUUUUCCACCUGUUGAACUUGUAAAACUUCCAAUAAUGAAGGCGAAUCCAUUGACUGAAUAGCUCCUUAGACAAGUGCGUUGAAG
This is a non-coding RNA of Schizosaccharomyces pombe (fission yeast), 384 nucleotides long. The record is from the annotation of a GenBank genome assembly. NCBI's taxonomy places the organism in Eukaryota, Fungi, Ascomycota, Schizosaccharomycetes, Schizosaccharomycetales, Schizosaccharomycetaceae.